Molecule: transfer RNA, 72 nt
Filed under: Pangasius djambal
Lineage: Eukaryota; Metazoa; Chordata; Actinopteri; Siluriformes; Pangasiidae
Description: tRNA-Glu
Source: RNAcentral
UCCCUGGAGGACUAGUGGUUAGGCCACAGCACGCUCACUGCUUCGGCCCGGGUUCAAUUCCUGGCCAGGGAA